This 548-nucleotide unclassified non-coding RNA is filed under the name Epaltes gariepina. Its description in RNAcentral is "contains 3 external transcribed spacer, ETS". Lineage: Eukaryota; Viridiplantae; Streptophyta; Magnoliopsida; Asterales; Asteraceae. The record is from RNAcentral.
GCAUCUUGGGGGUCGCUUUGAUUGGUUUGUUUCCGGUGGUUGGCUCUCUGCUUGCGCAACAACUUCCACCUGGCAAACCUCUUCAGUUGCUUGUCAAGGUUUUAUUGCCUUGGCUAUGUUGUGGUUUCCUGUGUUGCCUACCUAUGUGACGGUAUCGUUUGGACUCAUCAAUUCCCAUUUCAUCUUUCGUCACGCUUGUGGCGUGGGAUGAACCUUGAAACGAUCUCUUUGGUCCACCUUGUUGACGCAUAACGUUGAUGUUGUGGCCCAUUGAGCAUUGUUGGUUUCUUGGAUACGGAACAUGAUGUGGGCAUGGGGUCUUUACAUGAUCCUUGUUUUGUCCAAGUUGAGCGUUAUUGUUUCUCUAAGAUGACUGCCAGCCCGAAUUGGCUCGUACCACCGGGUGAGAUAUGUUGUCGAAGAGAGAUGCUAGCGUUCUUGCUUCUCAAAAACGACCACCUAUCCUGUUGGCUUGUACCAGCGGGUAGGUGAUGUCGAAUAGGGAUGCUACCUGGUUGAUCCUGCCAGUAGUCAUAUGCUUGUCUCAA